Molecule: long non-coding RNA, 220 nt
Filed under: Elaeis guineensis (African oil palm)
Lineage: Eukaryota; Viridiplantae; Streptophyta; Magnoliopsida; Arecales; Arecaceae
Description: long non-coding RNA (EGUI_LNC035763)
Source: RNAcentral
AGGUUACCGUGGCAGGCGUGCGGAUGUGGGUUUGGGCAACAUGCGGAUCCAGUAAAGUGGUUUCCUAAGGACGUUGGGAGUUGAAUUUUUAUCAAGAUUCAGACAUCAUUUUUCACCCGAAUUGAGUCAUAUUUUCAACGCUGUAUUCACGCAGUUUUGGGCCUUUUAAUUAUGGAUGCUGGUUACUGUUGAACAGAGAGCUACAGAAAACUGGAGUGGU